Molecule: long non-coding RNA, 651 nt
Organism: Dromaius novaehollandiae (emu)
Lineage: Eukaryota; Metazoa; Chordata; Aves; Casuariiformes; Dromaiidae
Exons: 3
Source: RefSeq, a predicted model, not a curated record
AUUUUCAUUUUGUUGCAAACGAAAUACUGCUACCAAUUUCUACAGCUUUCUAUACAACAUCUUAUCCAAACGACCUAGGGAGAUUUAUAUAUUUUUAUAUAUAUAUAAAAAAAAUCAGCUUAUCAUCAGGACAAGGAAAAUAGCAUGCUUGUAUGCAGUAAUAACAGUACCAGAACCGUAGCUAGGCAAUCUCGGCAGCUCAGGCAUCGCAGUUGCUUCAGGCAGGGUAAGUGGACACCUCCCCGUUUCCACUCCAACCACACCGCGGAGGACAGAGACCUCCAAAAGCACCGCCGUUCCUGUUCCUCUUCUCGAGCAAGAGCAGAGCACAACUAGGCCACGAGAAUGGCCCCACCAGGCCGGUCGCUUUGCUUGUUUUUAAAGAAAGGUCACGGAGCUCUGGUCUAGAAGAGAGCAAGGAACCUAUGGAGGUCUCCUGUGGUUGCCCUGUGGAGAGGAGGACAAGGAGUUCCUGCCUCUGCUCGCUGCCCCGAGGAAGAGUGCGGUGAAGAGAGGGGAGGAGGAGGCAUUCAUUCCUACCAGGUGUUACCCAUUUUCACCUCACAAUGACAGCAAGUGGGAGAAAUCAAGCACUCUCUAAGAACUGAGUUUGUAAUAAAUGUAAUCUGGUUAACAAAUUAAAGGUCAUUC